Molecule: non-coding RNA, 88 nt
Filed under: Pseudonocardia benzenivorans CB1190
Lineage: Bacteria; Bacillati; Actinomycetota; Actinomycetes; Pseudonocardiales; Pseudonocardiaceae
Description: Pseudonocardia dioxanivorans CB1190 ZMP/ZTP riboswitch aptamer (pfl RNA motif)
Rfam family: ZMP/ZTP riboswitch aptamer (pfl RNA motif)
About the family: Previously known as pfl RNA. ZMP is also known as AICAR.
Source: Rfam by way of RNAcentral
GGGGGCGGCCGCGACCGGCGAAGGUGGAGCACCACCGGGGAGCGACCGCGCGCACGUCCACGGAGCGUCGACCGCCUGGGUGCCCCGG